AUGGCCCCCUCUCUCCGUCACUGCAGCGUCGGUGCUGUAGUGGCAGGAGCAGCAGAUGGAGCAGAUGUUAGUGUCAAUGCUCGGCAUGUGUGCAGAGAUGCAGCAUUUCUCCACCCACCCACACACUGUCUCCUCAGACACACUGCUUGCCUCCUGCUCUCUGACGCUCUCAGACUCCCUGCAAAGGUUGAUGUCCGGAGUGUGAGAGCAGCCCGGCGGCUUGGUGCAGGCGGUGAAGGAGCUCUGGAAACCUCCAUCUCUGCCCGACCCAGAGUCGAAGGAGCUGUCCGCUGGUCCCGCUGCACUGCUAUGACUGUGAGCUCCUGAAGAAUUCUCUCUUUUAAAAACGAUUCGCCAUCCUUCUU
RNAcentral lists this long non-coding RNA (365 nucleotides) under Sparus aurata (gilthead seabream). RNAcentral describes it as "lncRNA (ENSSAUG00010000341.1)". The record is from RNAcentral. Lineage: Eukaryota; Metazoa; Chordata; Actinopteri; Spariformes; Sparidae.